GAAUAUUGGACAAUGGGGGGAACCCUGAUCCAGCCAUGCCGCGUGUGUGAAGAAGGCCUUUUGGUUGUAAAGCACUUUAAGCGAGGAGGAGGCUACUAAGAUUAAUACGCUAGGAUAGUGGACGGUACUCGAAGAGUAAGCACCGGCCAACCCUGUGCCAGCAGCCCCGGUAAUACAGAGGGUGCAAGCGUUAAUCGGAUUUACUGGGCGUAAAGCGAGCGUAGGUGGCCAAUUAAGUCAAAUGUGAAAUCACCGAGCUUAACUUGGGAAUUGCAUUCGAUACUGGUUGGCUAGAGUAUGGGAGAGGAUGGUAGAAUUCCAGGUGUAGCGGUGAAAUGCGUAGAGAUCUGGAGGAAUACCGAUGGCGAAGGCAGCCAUCUGGCCUAAUACUGACACUGAGGUGCGAAAGCAUGGGGAGCAAACAG
Molecule: ribosomal RNA, 425 nt
Filed under: uncultured bacterium
Lineage: Bacteria
Description: partial 16S ribosomal RNA
Rfam family: Bacterial small subunit ribosomal RNA
Source: RNAcentral